This 373-nucleotide ribosomal RNA is filed under the name uncultured bacterium. RNAcentral's name for it is "bacterial SSU rRNA". It matches the Rfam family "Bacterial small subunit ribosomal RNA", at positions 523 to 898 of the family's 1533-position model. The record is from RNAcentral.
AUACGGAGGGUGCAAGCGUUAUCCGGAUUCACUGGGUUUAAAGGGUGCGUAGGUGGGCAGUUAAGUCAGUGGUGAAAUCUCCGGGCUCAACCCGGAAACUGCCAUUGAUACUAUCUGUCUUGAAUAUCGUUGAGGUAAGCGGAAUAUGUCAUGUAGCGGUGAAAUGCUUAGAUAUGACAUAGAACACCAAUUGCGAAGGCAGCUUGCUAACCGAAUAUUGACACUGAGGCACGAAAGCGUGGGGAUCAAACAGGAUUAGAUACCCUGGUAGUCCACGCCCUAAACGAUGGAUACUCGACAUACGCGAUAUACAGUGUGUGUCUGAGCGAAAGCAUUAAGUAUCCCACCUGGGAAGUACGACCGCAAGGUUGAA